RNAcentral lists this ribosomal RNA (550 nucleotides) under uncultured bacterium. RNAcentral's name for it is "bacterial SSU rRNA". It matches the Rfam family "Bacterial small subunit ribosomal RNA", at positions 355 to 896 of the family's 1533-position model. The record is from RNAcentral.
UAGGGAAUCUUCCGCAAUGGGCGAAAGCCUGACGGAGCAACGCCGCGUGAGUGAUGAAGGUCUUCGGAUCGUAAAACUCUGUUAUUAGGGAAGAACAUAUGUGUAAGUAACUGUGCACAUCUUGACGGUACCUAAUCAGAAAGCCACGGCUAACUACGUGCCAGCAGCCGCGGUAAUACGUAGGUGGCAAGCGUUAUCCGGAAUUAUUGGGCGUAAAGCGCGCGUAGGCGGUUUUUUAAGUCUGAUGUGAAAGCCCACGGCUCAACCGUGGAGGGUCAUUGGAAACUGGAAAACUUGAGUGCAGAAGAGGAAAGUGGAAUUCCAUGUGUAGCGGUGAAAUGCGCAGAGAUAUGGAGGAACACCAGUGGCGAAGGCGACUUUCUGGUCUGUAACUGACGCUGAUGUGCGAAAGCAUGGGGAUCAAACAGGAUUAGAUACCCUGGUAGUCCACGCCGUAAACGAUGAGUGCUAAGUGUUAGGGGGUUUCCGCCCCUUAGUGCUGCAGCUAACGCAUUAAGCACUCCGCCUGGGGAGUACGACCGCAAGGUUG